This 400-nucleotide ribosomal RNA is filed under the name uncultured bacterium. RNAcentral describes it as "bacterial SSU rRNA". It matches the Rfam family "Bacterial small subunit ribosomal RNA", at positions 355 to 772 of the family's 1533-position model. The record is from RNAcentral.
UGGGGAAUAUUGGACAAUGGGCGAAAGCCUGAUCCAGCAAUGCCGCGUGAGUGAUGAAGGCCUUAGGGUUGUAAAGCUCUUUUACCAGGGAUGAUAAUGACAGUACCUGGAGAAUAAGCUCCGGCUAACUCCGUGCCAGCAGCCGCGGUAAUACGGAGGGAGCUAGCGUUGUUCGGAAUUACUGGGCGUAAAGCGCGCGUAGGCGGUUACUCAAGUCAGAGGUGAAAGCCCGGGGCUCAACCCCGGAACUGCCUUUGAAACUAGGUGACUAGAAUCUUGGAGAGGUCAGUGGAAUUCCGAGUGUAGAGGUGAAAUUCGUAGAUAUUCGGAAGAACACCAGUGGCGAAGGCGACUGACUGGACUGAUACUGACACUGAGGUGCGAAAGCGUGGGGAGCAAA